GGCGGUAGCUCAGUGGUAGAGCGCUUGCCUGGCAUCUAUGAGGCCCUGGGUUCAAGUUCUAGUACUGCUC
RNAcentral lists this transfer RNA (70 nucleotides) under Fukomys damarensis (Damara mole-rat). It matches the Rfam family "tRNA". From Rfam's summary of the family: Transfer RNA (tRNA) molecules are approximately 80 nucleotides in length. Lineage: Eukaryota; Metazoa; Chordata; Mammalia; Rodentia; Bathyergidae. The record is from Rfam by way of RNAcentral.